GCAGUCGAACGGCAGCACAGGAGAGCUUGCUCUCUGGGUGGCGAGUGGCGGACGGGUGAGGAAUACAUCGGAAUCUACCUUUUCGUGGGGGAUAACGUAGGGAAACUUACGCUAAUACCGCAUACGACCUUAGGGUGAAAGCGGAGGACCUUCGGGCUUCGCGCGGAUAGAUGAGCCGAUGUCGGAUUAGCUAGUUGGCGGGGUAAAGGCCCACCAAGGCGACGAUCCGUAGCUGGUCUGAGAGGAUGAUCAGCCACACUGGAACUGAGACACGGUCCAGACUCCUACGGGAGGCAGCAGUGGGGAAUAUUGGACAAUGGGCGCAAGCCUGAUCCAGCCAUGCCGCGUGGGUGAAGAAGGCCUUCGGGUUGUAAAGCCCUUUUGUUGGGAAAGAAAAGCAGUCGGUUAAUACCCGAUUGUUCUGACGGUACCCAAAGAAUAAGCACCGGCUAACUUCGUGCCAGCAGCCGCGGUAAUACGAAGGGUGCAAGCGUUACUCGGAAUUACUGGGCGUAAAGCGUGCGUAGGUGGUUGUUUAAGUCCGUUGUGAAAGCCCUGGGCUCAACCUGGGAAUUGCAGUGGAUACUGGGCAACUAGAGUGUGGUAGAGGAUGGCGGAAUUCCCGGUGUAGCAGUGAAAUGCGUAGAGAUCGGGAGGAACAUCUGUGGCGAAGGCGGCCAUCUGGACCAACACUGACACUGAGGCACGAAAGCGUGG
RNAcentral lists this ribosomal RNA (717 nucleotides) under bacterium S6. RNAcentral's name for it is "bacterial SSU rRNA". It matches the Rfam family "Bacterial small subunit ribosomal RNA", at positions 57 to 764 of the family's 1533-position model. The record is from RNAcentral.